Cyanothece sp. is the source of this 65-nucleotide small RNA. It matches the Rfam family "Nitrogen stress-induced RNA 4". Rfam says of the family: Former name SyR12, is a cyanobacterial non-coding RNA which plays role in the regulation of Glutamine synthetase (GS), a key enzyme in biological nitrogen assimilation. NsiR4 interacts with the 5'UTR of the mRNA of the GS inactivating factor IF7 (gifA mRNA) and reduces its expression. The record is from Rfam. NCBI's taxonomy places the organism in Bacteria, Bacillati, Cyanobacteriota, Cyanophyceae, Gomontiellales, Cyanothecaceae.
AAGACAUAAAGUCAAUAUCACCCUCCGAUUGCUUAUCCAAGCCGCCCGUUGUCUAGGGGCGGUUU